This 398-nucleotide ribosomal RNA is filed under the name Camellia saluenensis. Its description in RNAcentral is "eukaryotic LSU rRNA". It matches the Rfam family "Eukaryotic large subunit ribosomal RNA", at positions 2927 to 3401 of the family's 3401-position model. The record is from RNAcentral. Lineage: Eukaryota; Viridiplantae; Streptophyta; Magnoliopsida; Ericales; Theaceae.
GAUUGUUCACCCACCAAUAGGGAACGUGAGCUGGGUUUAGACCGUCGUUAGACAGGUUAGUUUUACCCUACAAAUGAUAGUGUCACAAUAGAAAUUCAACCUAGUGAUUUGCAUAAUUGGUUAUCGCGCUAGGUUGAAAAACCAGUGACGUGAAGCUACCGUGCACUGGAUUACGAAUGAACGCCUCUAAGUCAGAAUCUGGGCUAAAAACGAUGCUUGCGCCCGCCGCCCACUUGCCGACUUGCAGAAGGGGCCAUCCGUCCCCCAAAAGCACAUGUCAUUGGUAAAGUCCUUUGCAGAUGGCUUAAAUACACGACGGGGUAUUAUAAGUGGCAGAAUGGCCUUACUGCCAUGAUCCACUAAGAUUUAACCCUGCGUCGCUCCGAUUCGUCCCUCCC